Molecule: long non-coding RNA, 999 nt
Filed under: Homo sapiens (human)
Lineage: Eukaryota; Metazoa; Chordata; Mammalia; Primates; Hominidae
Description: HSALNT0172559
Source: RNAcentral
CUCUGUCGCCCAGGCUGGAGUGCAGUGGCACGAUCGAUCAGUGCUCCCUGCAGCCUCCACCUCCCUGGCUCAGGCAUGGUGGCACAUGCCUAUAAUCCCGGCUACUCGGGAGGCUGAGGCACGAGAAUCACUUGAGCCUGGAAGGCAGAGGUUGCAAUGAGCCGAGAUCAUGCCACUGCACUCCAGCCUGGGCAAGAGAGCGAGACUCCCUCGAAAAAAAAAAAAAAACUUGCUUACUUGUGUGACAUAUUCAAUCUGUCACCUCAGGGGAGAACAAAACUGUGUUCAAGUUGGCAGAUAGAGUGGCUGCAUUCAAAGCCAGACUAGUAUUAUGGGGGCCACAAGUGAACAUUGGGAUUUUUUGACAUGUUUCAAACAUUAGCAGAGAUUUUAAAAGAGACUGAGCCAGGACCUUUUUUCUCCCAGCUGGCACAUGAUCACCUAUCUCAGCCUUCAAAGAGUUUGAGUAUUAUUUUCCAGCCACGAAAGAGCCCCGAACUGGGAAGGAAUGGAUUCACAACCCAUUUGUGAAUAAGCCAGGUGAAUCGACUUUGUUCAUGCUAGAAGAGGAUCAGCUGCUUAAGAUCACAAAUGAUGUUGCCCUUAAAAGUAUGUUUGAGACAACUUCACAUCUCCAUACAUUCUGGAUUAAAGACAAAGUGGAACAUCCUGAGAUUGCCACGAAAGCACUGGAAAGCCUGCUUCCAUUUCCAACCUCCUGUCUUUGUGAAACAGGGUUUUCUGUAGUGACAGCAGCCAAACAAGAUUACAGAGUAGACUGGACAUAAGCAACACACUUAGGGUGUCACUGUCUCCCAUCACCCCUAGAUGGGACCGUCUAGUUGCAGGGAAAACAAGCUCAGGGCUCCCACUGCUUCUACAUUAUGGUGAGUUGUACAAUUAUUUCAUUAUAUAUUACGAUGUGAUAAUAAUAAAGUACACAAUAAAUGUAAUACACUUGAAUCAUCUCAAAACCACCACCACCCCCCUCCAUGGAAA